This 270-nucleotide long non-coding RNA is filed under the name Ananas comosus (pineapple). RNAcentral's name for it is "long non-coding RNA (ACOM_LNC005116)". The record is from RNAcentral. Lineage: Eukaryota; Viridiplantae; Streptophyta; Magnoliopsida; Poales; Bromeliaceae.
UGGUAGUAAUAUUUAUUAACUUUCAGAUAGCGUGUUAACCGCUUCGUUUAUUUUAUUUAAAAAUAAAUUUAGUUGAAAAUGUGAAUCAAUCAAUUAAGAUUUGAACUUGGGAACUCAGGGGACUAAUCAUUAAGAUCUUUGCCACUUGCGCUAAAUUAUUGAACAUAUAUUUUGUUCACCUCAUUAAAUUUCAAUAUACAGUAAUCUUUGCAGAUAUUUUGUAAAAUAAAAUUAUACCCCAUCAAAUUCAAAAAAUUAUAUAUAUUUCAC